This 2161-nucleotide long non-coding RNA is filed under the name Mytilus galloprovincialis (Mediterranean mussel). Lineage: Eukaryota; Metazoa; Mollusca; Bivalvia; Mytilida; Mytilidae. The record is from RNAcentral.
UUAUAUAAAACCAUUCUAUUGUUUGACAGUAAAUCCGUUCAGUAUGUUUGCUAAUUCGGUUUAUGUUGCGGCUAUAUUGGGAAUAGUGUUGGUGUAUAGCAGUCAUGCAGGUGUAUAUAUUUAUUUUUAAAAUAGACCGUGGUUUUUCUGUUUGAAUUAUGUUACACCAGACAUUUUUGGGACUUUUAUAGAUUGUUGUUAUGUGUUAGCCAAGGCUCUAUGUUGAAGGCCGUACUAUGACCUAUAAUGGUUUGCUUUUUACAUAUUGUGAUUUGGAUAGAGAGUUGUCUCGUUGGCCCUUUUACCACAUCUUCUUGUAUAUCUUUUCUAUACUUAAUGUCUUGGUGUGUGCUAAUGGUUCAUCUUUUGUUCAAACCAUCUAGUCAUAGUAGGCAAAGUAUUCGUGCAAUCGCCACAUGUGCUAUGGUGCAGACAUUUCCGAAGACAAUAUAAGUUAAGAUAAAAAGCAGAAUUACUAGUAACUUUUAAAAAAUAUGUUUAAAUUGCCUCCUCUCUGUAAUGAAUUAAUCAUAGGUUAGUCUUUAGAAACACAUAUGCACAACUCUCAUGAAACACAUAUUCACAACUCUAAUGCAUAUAUAAUGGUACUAUACUUUUAUAAACUGUGACUUGUAUGGAGAUUUGUCUCAUGGGCACUCAUACAACAUCUUUCUAUAUAUAGCUAUUUAUGCCACAUACUUUUUUAACCAACAGAUAAAUGCAGUUAUCCAUACCGAAGAAUUGGCAAGAGCUGUUACCUUAUAAAUACACAAAAAGUGACAGCAGAUACCGCCUUUGUAUGUUACGUUUAUAAUAAUAAGAUUUAUUAGUCAAUAACUUUAAUUUUGUAUGUAACGCGUCUCCUGAUUGGCUGACAGAUACACAAAAAGUGACAGCAGACACCGUCUUUUGUAUGAUAAGUAUAUAAUAACAAGAUCAUUAGUCAAUAAUCUAAUUUUGGAUUUAACGCGUCUCCUGAUUGGCUGACAGGUACACAAAAAGUGACAGCAGAUACCGCCUUUGUUUGUUAAGUAUAUAAAAACAAGAUCAUUAGUCAAUAACUUUUGCCUACGUCGCAGUGUACACGCAGCAAACUAGCAACAUUCUGUGUUCGCCUGUCCAAAGUCAGAAGCAUGUAGUUUAGUAAUUGUCGUUGGUUUAUGUCUGUCUUUGUAUUUCGCAAACUGUUUUGUUACAUUAUAAAGUAGACCGUUGAUAGUUAAUUGAAUUGUCGCAUAUCUUUCCCGUCGGGGCCAUUUAUAGCCGACUAACAGUAUGGGUUUAUCUCAUUGUUGAAGGCCGUACGAUUGCUUAUGAUUGUUUUAAACCACCUCAUUUUAAUUUUGGUGGAAAUUCUCUCGCUGGCAAUCAUACUACACCAGAAGAUUUUUACCUUAUAUUAAACAUGCUGCAGCGAGCUAACGGACAAUUACUGACUAGGUUGAUGCCUUCUGCGAAGUCUGUGCCAAAACAAAGCAAAUGUUUUUAAAAAAUCAAUAAUUUUGGGACUACUAAACAUUUAAGCGAACACCAAACUGAUUUUUUUUGCCGCAAUGAAGUAAGUUAAUUAUUUUGUACAUCUUCUGAUAAUGAAAUAUUAUUUCUUUGUUUAUGUUAAUGUAAUUUAUAGAUUGAGCAGAUAUUAGAUAUGUUUGUCUACUUUAAAAUGAAUCUAAAAAAAGAAGACUCUUCAAGCUUAUGUUUUUCAGACUUAUUUGAAAGCAAUAAAAAAAAUGUCAAAGAUUCUUUAAAUUUCGUACAGUCGGUCGAAGUAGCCUAGUCCUACAGACAGAUAUAUUGGUUAUCUGUCCGACUAAGUCUACUCUUAAAGGAAUGUAGUAUACCUUUCCUCAUAAGGACGUCACGGUUCAGCUAGCAAGCAAGCUAACCAAAUAUAUUACAUUUACCUACACACUCAAUGCAAUCGGCUGUAAACGAUUCGUGCAUAAUAAUUAAACUUUAUUAAGGAAUAAGCUAUCAAUACAUUUGCAAAUGUUUUUAAGGUAAUUUAGAGUAUCUAUCAUGCAAUGUCAAUGUAUAACUAACAUAUUUACUGAUUUUUCAGGCGAUAUGUUUACGACAUGGUGCAUACCUGGCCAACUUUGAGACAUUGGAAGAAUAGAUGUUAAUGAAAUAUGAAUUGAAGAAGAUGAAUACUGGU